CCUGGUUGAUCCUGCCAGUAGUGAUAUGCUUGUCUUAAAGAUUAAGCCAUGCAUGUGUAUGUUCAUGCCAAUAUAAGGCAAAACCGCGAAUGGCUCAUUAAAUCAGUCAUAAUUUAAUGGGUGGCUGUGAUACAUGGAUAACUGUGGUAAUCCUAGAGCUAAUACAUGUAAUCGAGCCAUGGUACUAGCUUCGGCGACGUACCAUGACACAUUUAUUGGCGAAAACUGAUUAUGCUUCGGCAUUGAAUUGAUGGUGAAAUACAAUAACAUUGUGUGGAUCGUAUGGUCUUGUACCGACGACGCGCUUUGUAAAUGUCUGCCCUAUCAGCUAUUGAUGGUUUGGUAGUGGCUGACCAUGGCUGUGACGGGUGACGGGGAAUCUGGGUUCGAUUCCGGAGAAGGAGCUUGAGAAACGGCUACUACUUCUAAGGAAGGCAGCAGGCGCGUAAUUUACCCACUCCUAGAUUUGGGAGGUAGUGACAACAAAUACCCUACAGAGAAAACUUACAGUUAUCUCUUAAACGGUAUGAGUGCAGUGUGAAAGACUGUGCGAUAUACGAUUGGAGGGCAAGUCUGGUGCCAGCAGCCGCGGUAAUUCCAGCUCCAAUAGUAUAUACUAAAGUUGUUGCGGUUAAAAAGCUCGUAGUUGGAUAUCAGUGUGUGCCUGACAUCAAUAUGCAAGACUGUUUUUAAACAGUCUUGCGUUAAGUAUUGAUGGGCCGCAUUAAAUGUGUCGCAUUAGGCUAUGGGCUGUUUUACGGAAGGGCCUAUAGUCAAUCGGCAGCAUUACUUUGAACAAAUUAGAGUGCUCAAAGCAGGCUUUUAGCCUGAAUAUACUAUUCAUAGUAUAGGAGAAUACGUCCUUAACUCGUUUUGGUCUGUUUGCGAGUUAAAGGAAAUGAUUAAAAGGGACAGACGGAGGCAUUCGUAUUGCAGCGCGAGGGGUGAAAUCCGUUGACCGUUGCACGACGAACUAUUGCGAAAGCAUUUGCCUAGAAUGUUUUCAUUAGUCAAGAACGAAAGUUAGAGGUUCGAAGGCGAUCAGAUACCGCCCUAGUUCUAACUGUAAACUAUGUCGACCAGCAAUCCGUGAAUGUUAGAGAAAGACUUCACGGGCAGCUCCUGGGAAACCAGAGUCUUUGGACUCCGGGGGGAGUAUGGUUGCAAAACAGAAACUUAAAGGAAUUGACGGAAGGGCACCACCAGGAGUGGAGCUUGCGGCUUAAUUUGACUCAACACGGGGCAACUCACCAGGCCCGGACACUGUAAGGAUUGACAAACUAAUGGCUUUCUCAUGAUUUAGUGGGUUGUGGUGCAUGGCCGUUCUUAGUUGGUGGAGUGAUUUGUCUGGUUUAUUCCGAUAACGAGCGAGACUCUUACCUGCUAAUUAGACGUUUUAUUGCUUGCAAUAAAACGUGCUUCUUAGAGGGAUGGUUGACGUUGUAGUCAAAAGAGAAAGAGCAAUAACAGGUCUGUGAUGCCCUUAGAUGUUCUGGGCUGCACGUGUGUUACACUGAAACGAUCAACACGAUUUAAAAGUCCUACUUUGAAAAAAGUGGGUAAUCGUUUGAACACGUUUCGUGAUGGGAAUUGAGGGUUGUAAUUAUCUCUCAUGAACGAGGAAUUCCCAGUAAGCACGAGUCAUCAACUUGUGUUGAUUAUGUCCCUGCCCUUUGUACACACCGCCCGUCGCUACUACCGAUGGAUAACUUAGUGAGGUCGUCCAGACUGAACACUAGUUUUUUAAACUGUGUUUGGAAAGGCGCCCAAACUUAGCUGUCUAGAGGAAGUAAAAGUCGUAACAAGGUUUCCGUAGGUGAACCUGCGGAAGGAUCAUUA
This 1839-nucleotide ribosomal RNA is filed under the name Bosmaella japonica. RNAcentral's name for it is "SSU rRNA". It matches the Rfam family "Eukaryotic small subunit ribosomal RNA". Lineage: Eukaryota; Metazoa; Arthropoda; Thecostraca; Sacculinidae. The record is from RNAcentral.